RNAcentral lists this long non-coding RNA (1128 nucleotides) under Zonotrichia albicollis (white-throated sparrow). Its description in RNAcentral is "lncRNA (ENSZALG00000015502.1)". The record is from RNAcentral. Lineage: Eukaryota; Metazoa; Chordata; Aves; Passeriformes; Passerellidae.
CAUGUACCAGGGAGAUGAAUGAUCUUGAACUUUAUGUGUGUCCGGCACAUAUGCCACCAUCUGGGAUAUGCCACCAACUAUAGGAAGCAACCUAUGUGAAAAUGAAGAAUGUGCUACAAAUGCAAUGGUCUUUUUCAAGAAUUUCUGCUUCCCAGAGAAAUUUGAAAAUCCUGCUUCAGCACCAGCUGGGCUAUGGUAGGCAGUCUGGCCAGGAAUAUUGGCAGAAAUGUGAAAUCUCUUCAGUCCCAUGCGUGGUCUUCUAGCAACCCAUGUGGAGGCGAUGUGGUGUUUGCAGGCACACAGGAGCAGCUCCAGCCAUGUUGCCCCUGCAGCUGCUGCCAAAAUCUGGCUUGCCAGUGUGGUAAAUCUGGAACUGCUGAUGAUUGGCACUGCAAGACUUGCAUGGUAAGUUCAAGCUGUUCCAGAAGGCAAUGAGAUGAUUACUGACAUCCUGGAGUAGUUCCCUGAGGUCAUGUCAGUUGUACUCAGGAAUCUAAGAAAAUCCCAACAAAUAAGACUAUUGCUGUCAUUAUAAUGAUACAGAGUUUCAAGCAUCAUUAUCUUGGUUGAUAAUGUUUGUCAGUCUCACAAAGCUGUCACAGGUAGAAAGCUCACUGGAGCUUUGUACCUGUGAUAUUAUUUACUGUGGAAAAUUUCACAUUUAACUUUCUUUUCUUGCCCAGUCCUAGCAUAUACCCCUUUCAGAUACAGAUGCCUAAACAAAGGUGUUUGGUUUUAUGGAAGCAAAAUCUAUACGUUACUCUUUACUUAAUAGGAAUUUAUUUUGUUUGUUGGUAGGAAGGCUUUUGACUAUUUUCUGUACUUCUCCUAAAGAAAUAGCUAUGGUUGAAGGUGAUCAGGAUAGGAGACAGUAAAGAAUACACUCUGCACUCUGUAGAACACAGCAUGAGAGCAACCAGAGGGUGCUUUGAAUCAGUUGCAUGUGCUGUGGAGAUAUUAUGCGGUUGACUUCUGCCAAAUGGAUUCAGUGGAUGAAGUAACAGCCAGAGUCUCAAGUUGCUCUUCAGGAGACAGCAGAUUUUGUUUUCUCUGAUUUUUCCAUUCUUUUCUGCUUUCAGCAUUCCAUCCCUUGAAUCAUUUAAGAAGUCUGGAUUUCAAAACCAAAUA